RNAcentral lists this ribosomal RNA (484 nucleotides) under uncultured bacterium. Its description in RNAcentral is "partial 16S ribosomal RNA". It matches the Rfam family "Bacterial small subunit ribosomal RNA", at positions 30 to 507 of the family's 1533-position model. The record is from RNAcentral.
AUUGAACGCUGGCGGCAGGCCUAACACAUGCAAGUCGAGCGGAUGAGGGGAGCUUGCUCCUGGAUUCAGCGGCGGACGGGUGAGUAAUGCCUAGGAAUCUGCCUGGUAGUGGGGGAUAACGUCCGGAAACGGGCGCUAAUACCGCAUACGUCCUGAGGGAGAAAGUGGGGGAUCUUCGGACCUCACGCUAUCAGAUGAGCCUAGGUCGGAUUAGCUAGUUGGUGGGGUAAAGGCCUACCAAGGCGACGAUCCGUAACUGGUCUGAGAGGAUGAUCAGUCACACUGGAACUGAGACACGGUCCAGACUCCUACGGGAGGCAGCAGUGGGGAAUAUUGGACAAUGGGCGAAAGCCUGAUCCAGCCAUGCCGCGUGUGCGAAGAAGGUCUUCGGAUUGUAAAGCACUUUAAGUUGGGAGGAAGGGCAGUAAGUUAAUACCUUGCUGUUUUGACGUUACCAACAGGAUAAGCACCGGCUAACUUCGUG